UACGAGGGGGGCGAGCGUUGUUCGGAUUCAUUGGGCGUAAAGGGCGCGUAGGCGGCGGGGUAAGUCGGGUGUGAAAUCUCAGAGCUCAACUCUGAAACUGCACUCGAUACUGCUUUGCUAGAGGACUGGAGAGGAGAUUGGAAUUCACGGUGUAGCAGUGAAAUGCGUAGAGAUCGUGAGGAAGACCAGUGGCGAAGGCGGAUCUCUGGACAGUUCCUGACGCUGAGGCGCGAAGGCCAGGGGAGCAAACGGG
This 253-nucleotide ribosomal RNA is filed under the name uncultured bacterium. RNAcentral describes it as "partial 16S ribosomal RNA". It matches the Rfam family "Bacterial small subunit ribosomal RNA", at positions 524 to 776 of the family's 1533-position model. The record is from RNAcentral.